Long non-coding RNA from Chenopodium quinoa (quinoa), 999 nucleotides. RefSeq lists it as uncharacterized. The record is from RefSeq and is a predicted model, not a curated record. Lineage: Eukaryota; Viridiplantae; Streptophyta; Magnoliopsida; Caryophyllales; Amaranthaceae. The transcript is spliced from 2 exons.
GAGACCGUAAAUAAGAGACUGUUUUAGUAGAUAACAGACCUCUUUGUUUCAAGAGACCCAAUAUUACAAAAAAUCGAUCUCUUUGGUAUUGUCUUAAGAGGUAAAUAUUUAACGGAGACCUUUUAAUAUAGAUAACAGGUCUCUCUUGAUUUUUUUAUUUUUAACUUAAAAGGGAGAGACAUGUGUUAGUACAUAACAGGUUUCUCUUAAUUUUUUUAUUUUAAAUUUUAAAAGGAGAGACCUGUGUUAGUACAUAACCGUCUCUCUUUUCUUUUUUUUAUAUAAAAAAAAAAUGAAAAACUUAUUAGGAGAGACCUGUGACAACUUAACCGGUCUUCCUAAUCUACAAAUAAUAUAAAAAAAAUGAAACCCUAAUAAUUCACAAACCUACAUUCAUCCGCCGCUCCUACUGCUUCUCCUUCUCUCCCUCCUCUUUCUUUCUCCAACUAUUUCUCCUUCUCUUCCUCCUCCCUUCUCUCCCAUGCAACAAAUGAAUUCACCACCACCACCAUGAUCUACUUCCUCCUAAUCUAUCUCCUCACCCGGUUUAUAUCCGACCAAGUCGAGUGAAAGUAAUGACCCGCAUCCACCUCGCUCUAUCAAAUCCACCAUAACAAGACAGUAACUUUAGAGAAGACGUCAUCGGAAGUGAGUCAAGCAAAAUAUCAACAUUUGGCAAGUUCAUUGGCUACAACAGAUCGAUGAAAUCGAAUUUCUGUAAUAAGAGAGACAAAAAUGGGAAUUCUAAGCGCAAUAACUGGUAAAAAAAUAACUCCAUCGUCAACAACAACAACAACCAAUCUAUAUUGAUUCCUGCUCCUCUUGAACCCCAUCAAAUUAAAGCCUAAUGUGUCGAGAUAUGCUGCUUUCACAGGAAAAAAAAAAAUCUCGAGACGAAGAAGUUGGAGUACUUAAGAUUAGCUACAUUUUAUAUGUUAAUGUAAUUAUUUUUGUAAUGAUUACAAUAAUUUGUAUACGAAUUUGGAGUACAUUAUUUUC